GGAGAUGUAGCUCAUGGUAGAGCACACAAUUAGCAUUCGUGGGGUUCUGGGUUCAACCCCCUGCACCUGCC
RNAcentral lists this transfer RNA (71 nucleotides) under Fukomys damarensis (Damara mole-rat). It matches the Rfam family "tRNA". Rfam says of the family: Transfer RNA (tRNA) molecules are approximately 80 nucleotides in length. Their secondary structure includes four short double-helical elements and three loops (D, anti-codon, and T loops). Lineage: Eukaryota; Metazoa; Chordata; Mammalia; Rodentia; Bathyergidae. The record is from Rfam by way of RNAcentral.